AUACGGAGGGGGUUAGCGUUGUUCGGAAUUACUGGGCGUAAAGCGUACGUAGGCGGACUGGAAAGUUGGGGGUGAAAUCCCGGGGCUCAACCCCGGAACUGCCUCCAAAACUUCCAAUCUAGAGAUCGAGAGAGGUGAGUGGAAUUCCAAGGGUAGAGGUAAAAUUCGUAGAUAUUUGGAGGAACACCAGUGGCGAAGGCGGCUCACUGGCUCGAUACUGACGCUGAGGUACGAAAGCGUGGGGAGCAAACAGUAUUAGAAACCCUAGUAGUCC
Molecule: ribosomal RNA, 274 nt
Filed under: uncultured bacterium
Lineage: Bacteria
Description: partial 16S ribosomal RNA
Rfam family: Bacterial small subunit ribosomal RNA
Source: RNAcentral